RNAcentral lists this long non-coding RNA (756 nucleotides) under Physcomitrium patens. RNAcentral's name for it is "long non-coding RNA (PPAT_LNC013507)". Lineage: Eukaryota; Viridiplantae; Streptophyta; Bryopsida; Funariales; Funariaceae. The record is from RNAcentral.
UAUUGAACACUUGGAGCAAAUGCAAGGUCUGUAGCUGGGAAUCGGUCUUAUAGGUCACAUGGGUCUGUCAGGAAGCACUCUCAUUAGCCAGCGUUUGAUAAAAUUCGGCUUCAUAAUUUUGAAGUUGUCAUAAUCUUGCUAAGUACAUAAAGAAUUCCUUACAAGCUGAAGUUUUAAAAUCUUAACACCUUAUUGAAUCAUAUACAUACGUGUGCACUUCCGGCUCAGAAGACCGGGAUCACGUAAGUUUUCCAAGCUCCGAGUCUUGUGUUUUUUUUUUUUUUUUUUUUUUUUUUGGUGUCACUGUACAGAUCACGAAUCCGACUUUCCGUCAUUUCUUCCAGGUCCAGCUUGAAAAAUUCGAAGAAUUGAUGACGUCCAAACUCACAGCCCAAGUCAAGCAGAACAAAACUUCCGUGUAAGACAGAUCAGAGAGAAACACUUGCUCAGACAUCUUGCACAGCAGCUGCUCAAAGCGCUACUGAACAUCCUUUUUUCUGUAUGAGGUCCUCGGUGGGUUUUAAAUACGCUAUGCUCACCACUGUUUCCGAGACUUGCAUUGCUCUUUAUCCAGCUCAACCCAUUCACAACCCAUUUUAAGCAUUUGGGUCAAUGUUGCAGAGUUUCCAGCACAAGAACAUACUGAAUGGGCACACAUGAACAAGCACUCACUGAAACCCAUUUCGAGGAGCACAAGUGAGGAGGAGGAAUCGGUUCACACUUCAAGUAAAAGAAUUGUUUUAUUGAGCUUAUACA